UUGAAAGGGAAACGAUUGAAGUCAGUCAUGCCGGCGGGAAUCAACUUAGGGGAAACUUUAAGUGCACUUCACGUUUGGCAGGUCAGCAUCGAUUUUGGAUGUCAUAAAAUGAUUGGGGGAAGGUAGCUCCUUCGGGAGUGUUAUAGCCCUUGGUAGAUGUGAUGUCUGGGAUCGAGGAUUGCAACGGAUACCCUUUGGGCUAGCCGCCUGAUCUCUAACUAGUGUUGGGUUACGGACAGCAUGCUGACCGUGAUUUAAUUAUUGGUUAAAAGGUUAGAGCGAGUGUAAAUUCGUUAAGGAUGUUGACGUA
This 310-nucleotide ribosomal RNA is filed under the name Dentiscutata erythropus. RNAcentral's name for it is "partial 25S ribosomal RNA". Lineage: Eukaryota; Fungi; Glomeromycota; Glomeromycetes; Diversisporales; Gigasporaceae. The record is from RNAcentral.